CAGCCGCCGCGGUAAUACGUAGGUGGCAAGCGUUGUCCGGAAUUAUUGGGCGUAAAGGGCUCGCAGGCGGUUUCUUAAGUCUGAUGUGAAAGCCCCCGGCUCAACCGGGGAGGGUCAUUGGAAACUGGGAAACUUGAGUGCAGAAGAGGAGAGUGGAAUUCCACGUGUAGCGGUGAAAUGCGUAGAGAUGUGGAGGAGCACCAGUGGCGAAGGCGACUCUCUGGUCUGUAACUGACGCUGAGGAGCGAAAGCGUGGGGAGCGAACAGGAUUAGAUACCCCAGUAGUCCCUGUCUCUUAUAC
RNAcentral lists this ribosomal RNA (301 nucleotides) under uncultured bacterium. RNAcentral describes it as "partial 16S ribosomal RNA". It matches the Rfam family "Bacterial small subunit ribosomal RNA", at positions 509 to 807 of the family's 1533-position model. The record is from RNAcentral.